This 648-nucleotide ribosomal RNA is filed under the name Triticum aestivum (bread wheat). RNAcentral describes it as "partial small subunit ribosomal RNA". Lineage: Eukaryota; Viridiplantae; Streptophyta; Magnoliopsida; Poales; Poaceae. The record is from RNAcentral.
AUGCUUAUCCACGAUUUCCAUCUCGACGAACAUUGUGAUGACGCCAUUAUAUGAAAGCACUCUACGGAUGGUUCAUACUCGGCGUUGUCCGCGUACAAGGCGCAGUUCCUUGGUUUGACACUCUCCCCUAAUGGACUUUAUGGUCUAGAAGGUGUGGGCGCCCCGAAAGUCAAAUUUUUCGCUUGGUUGGACUUGUAAGAUCGGAUUUGGACCGCUGACCGGCUUGAGCGGCGUGGUUGGGCUAAUUGUGGCCUUUGCCCCAUGUGCAAACAAGAGCAGAAGACCGGCAUCCAUCUCUUCGUCAAAUGCCAUUUCACUACUAGACUUUGGUGAUUGAUCAUUGAUAAGUAUGGUCUUGUAUACAUGGACAUUAGUGGCUGGCACCUUACGGAGUCUCUGUUCAAGUGGUGGGACAGACGAACCAACUCAAGCAAUCUUGAUUGACGUGCCAUGGCCUUUUUUACCAUGCUUGUGUCGUGGAUAAUUUGGAAUGAGAGGAACUUUAGGGUGUUCCGCCACAAAAAUGCACCGCCGCCAAUCCUACUAAAGCUUAUAGUGGAUGAGGCCAAGCUUUGGGUUUCGGCAAGGGCUAAGAAAUUAGGGAGAAUUGUACUUCCUCCGUUUUUUUACUCCGCAUAUAAGAUUUGA